This is a long non-coding RNA of Aquila chrysaetos chrysaetos, 1468 nucleotides long. RefSeq lists it as uncharacterized. Lineage: Eukaryota; Metazoa; Chordata; Aves; Accipitriformes; Accipitridae. The transcript is spliced from 3 exons. The record is from RefSeq and is a predicted model, not a curated record.
GGCAUUUGAGCUGAAGAAAGGAGAGCUGCUUUUCAUCUCUGAGGCUGGAAUUAAAAUCCAGAUUGAUGGUAGGUGAUGGGAGCAUGUGGGUUCAUGUGCAAAGCUGGUACCUCCUCCUCUUGUGACACAUCAGUAGAGAUUUUGUGGCAAUGUGAGCACGUGUUGUGCUGCUUUGGGGUCGGUGCAUGCGAAUGGGCACCGUUCUGCUUGGGGGUUAGAGAGACAGCGGCUUGAUUUCAAUAAUUAAAAAAACCUCGGGAGAUGGCUUGAAGAACUUUCUAUCGAAAUUGCUGCGUCCCACAGGUACCGAUGCCUGCGUGUUCCUGGCAGGAACCGAUGGACAGGGGUGCAAGCUAUUGCUCGAGGGACUGGGGAGAGUGCAGCGUGUAUCAGCCAGAAUAGGGGUAUUGGCUUGUGCUGCUUCAAAAAUAGCAGGUUUGAAACCAUUUGCUGGAAAGCUGGGCUUUGGGGAGCGGGGGGAGACAGUCAUGGGACCCAGCACAAAAAGUGAAGACGUUUAUUAUCCCUCAUUUUAGGGUGAGGUUUCUGUCUUGUGUGCCAGGGAGACAGAGGCACUUACUCAACAAGUGACACUGGGAGCCGCUCCUCUGGAUGCCAUCGGACAGAGCUGGCUUUGUGUCUGGAAACCACCAGGAUCUCUCCUGGCAACUUGAGCAAAACCUACAAAGAAGAGGAGAUGAGAGCCAAGUGGGCAGCUUCCUAAAUGUGCAGCCUGCAGGGGCUGGGACGUGAAAAUCAUACCAAAAUCCAUAGCUGCGUGCACCCUGUGGUCUGGACGGGGAAUGAGAUGUGACGCUUCUCAGCAUGCCACCAAGGCAAGUGUCGAAGCUGGCUGUGGUCCCCUGGUGCCCUCAAAGUGAUGCUCCCCCUGUGCUAGAUCUCCUCCAGGAGCUGUGUAGGUGGCUCAGGAGAUGCACCCCACUUUGCAGGGACCUUGUGUUGUCUCCUUCCCUCCCACCCCUUCCCCAAGCAAAUUUUAUAGGUACGAGCGCUGAGCACAUGGCUUGGCUUCUCAUGCCUUGGAGACGAGUCCACAACACCUUCAGGACCAAAUGUCGUUUGUAGCUGCAGGGUAUUGGGUUUCUUGUACAGGAGAACUGCUUAGAAAAUACUCCAGCUUGCUGCCUGCCAUUUGUAGGUAGACCAAUGUGAUGAGAGAAGGAUUUUUUCUUAUCCGUUUGGCCAUGGACCUCCUGGUCCAGCCAUAGAAGUGGACUUCCGCGCUGAAGCUGCUCUCUCAUCACAGUGAUGCUUGUUAUCAUGGUUGCAAUGUGGAAGAACCUCAAGAGAAGUUAACCCUGCGAAAAUUUGGCCAGCCUGAGAUUUUCUGGUGCCUCGUCUGAACUUUGGGCAAGCCCAAAACUGGUGGAUGUUGGCUCUCAGUGAAAGGAUGAGGACCUCUGCUGUGUCUUGAGAGUGUCAUGAAUGUCACUGUUGGUGAUUAAGA